This 114-nucleotide ribosomal RNA is filed under the name Methylobacillus sp. MM3. Lineage: Bacteria; Pseudomonadati; Pseudomonadota; Betaproteobacteria; Nitrosomonadales; Methylophilaceae. The record is from RNAcentral. RNAcentral also lists the same sequence under 1 other name.
CCUGGCGGCCAUAGCGAGUUGGAACCACCCCUUCCCAUUCCGAACAGGACCGUGAAACGACUCCGCGCCGAUGAUAGUAUGCUCUUCGCAUGCGAAAGUAGGUCACCGCCAGGC